RNAcentral lists this RNase P RNA (292 nucleotides) under Nitrosomonas communis. Its description in RNAcentral is "Bacterial RNase P class A". It matches the Rfam family "Bacterial RNase P class A". Rfam says of the family: Ribonuclease P (RNase P) is a ubiquitous endoribonuclease, found in archaea, bacteria and eukarya as well as chloroplasts and mitochondria. Its best characterised activity is the generation of mature 5'-ends of tRNAs by cleaving the 5'-leader elements of precursor-tRNAs. Cellular RNase Ps are ribonucleoproteins. Lineage: Bacteria; Pseudomonadati; Pseudomonadota; Betaproteobacteria; Nitrosomonadales; Nitrosomonadaceae. The record is from RNAcentral.
GAAGCUGACCAGACAGUCGCUGCCUGUGCAAGCAGGGAGAGGAAAGUCCGGACUCCAGAGAGCAAGGAUGCCGGUUAACGGCCGGCCGUUGUGAAGCGAGGAAUAGGGCCACAGAGACGAGCGUAUUAAGUUACGGUGAAACGCGGUAACCUCCAUCCGGAGCAAGACCAAAUAGGCAGGCUAUGACGCUGCUCGCUGAGCCUGCGGGUAGGUUGCUUGAGUACACAGGUAACUGGGUACCUAGAGGAAUGACUGUCCACGACAGAAUCCGGCUUAUCGGUCAGCUUCCCCA